Molecule: long non-coding RNA, 1199 nt
Organism: Onychostoma macrolepis
Lineage: Eukaryota; Metazoa; Chordata; Actinopteri; Cypriniformes; Cyprinidae
Exons: 3
Source: RefSeq, a predicted model, not a curated record
UUAGGAACGAAACGUCUCAAGCGAGUGUUGGUCGUUGUCGCAAAGGUCGAUUCUGCAUUGGCUUUAUUUGGAACGUCGUUGGCUGAACAAAACAACAGGAAGAUAUCAAUAUUGUGUCUAAAAUGGUUUUAAGGUUUACAGCUGUGCAUUGAAGCCCGUUGAUAAAAUUGAAACUUUGCACAGAAAAGUGGAGGAAGAAGUUGAGUUUGACAGCUUUCAGCGUCCUCUUCACUCAACACCCUGGAAAACUAUGUACAUAAAUCUGCGACACCUUCACUGCAGAUUGGCUUAGGAAGUCUUAAGAUGGGAUUGUACCUGUAAGGUCACUGGUUUACAAUCUGCCCAGGUUGUGCCAGUCCCCCUGAGGCGAUUGUUGUGGGUCAUUUAGGAAGUAUUGUGUAAUAACGGCUGCUUCACAUUUGGUCCUCACUGACAGUUAACGGUUUCAGAACUGGACUGGCUCCGUGACUCCGGAUCUUCAUCAUAAAUACAGACACUGCACUGGCAGCAAUAUAAUAUCUAAACUCCUGGAGAUGAUGCAUUUAUCUUCAUCAUUUCUCAUAUAUGUGUGGAAGGAUGAGCUGGAUUUUGUUGGAGCUCCUAGUCUCUCCAGCAUGCAAACUUUUGGCUCUGGGAUUUCGAUGUUGGGGAUGUGCCGGGGAAGGAGGAUGUAUUAGCCUGUGCUUGGCAGAAUAUUAGGGAGACUAGGCUCUCUCCUGGGAUACUGGAUUUUGUGCUCAAUCGGACAAAGGAUAGAGGUUGAACAAGAGGACACGCAGCUGCAGCCCAGUCUCUGCAUCAUCUCAUCUCAGUCUCUGAGUCCUCAUGCUAUUCAUUAAAAAGCAGCAGGACUGAUCUUAGAGUCUGAGCGCCGUUUACAGCUGCGCCUGCUCUUGAGCUGAAGUUUUGAUACACAAGAGGAUAACAGAAAGUCAGUGCAGGACAUUUAUUGCACGUCUUUGCAUCAUAUAACUUUAACAUUGCACAACAGAAACUGGAUUUCUUAUGUGUGGCCCAUUUGUGCUGCUGUGAGUCUGCUGUUAAUGACAUAUGGGGCGUUUAAAAAUCCAACACCUCAUGCACCACAGGGCCAGAUUGCUGUUAAAACACUGAAUCAUGGGACUGUUUUCAGAUCAAAGUUUCAUACACCACAGCUGUAGAAUCAAAAUAUAUCGCUGUGAAGAAUAAGUUUGAGAACA